UGUGGGUCGAAGAGCUGCAUAGGUGUGUGCGGGUGGUUUUGACAAAUUGACGAUCGUCCUCGUGUGGAGUGCGUAUGAUUUGUGGGGAAUAACAUCUUGGAUACUGUUAGUGAGCUGCUGUGUAUUGUUGUGCCUCUCCUCCUAUGAAGUGGUUGGCUUCUACCGGCUAGCAAUAUCAAUGAUAUUAAUUCAAGUUGUUGUGCACCUGUCCCUUUUCCUGUAAGGAAGUGAUUGGCUUUACAGUUUAGCACUGCGCCUGAUUUUCCUCCAUGAGGUGGUUGCCUGCUACAGUUUAGUCCAUUAUAUGGGCUGAG
Labeo rohita (rohu) is the source of this 314-nucleotide long non-coding RNA. RefSeq lists it as uncharacterized. The transcript is spliced from 3 exons. Lineage: Eukaryota; Metazoa; Chordata; Actinopteri; Cypriniformes; Cyprinidae. The record is from RefSeq and is a predicted model, not a curated record.